This 301-nucleotide ribosomal RNA is filed under the name uncultured bacterium. RNAcentral describes it as "partial 16S ribosomal RNA". It matches the Rfam family "Bacterial small subunit ribosomal RNA", at positions 509 to 807 of the family's 1533-position model. The record is from RNAcentral.
CAGUAGCCGCGGUAAUACGAAGGGGGCUAGCGUUGCUCGGAAUGACUGGGCGUAAAGGGCGCGUAGGCGGUUUAUACAGUCAGAUGUGAAAUUCCUGGGCUCAACCUGGGGACUGCAUUUGAUACGUAUGGACUUGAGUGGAGAAGAGGGUCGUGGAAUUUCCAGUGUAGAGGUGAAAUUCGUAGAUAUUGGAAAGAACACCGGUGGCGAAGGCGGCGACCCGGUCUUUAACUGACGCUGAGGCGCGAAAGCGUGGGGAGCAAACAGGAUUAGAUACCCCAGUAGUCCCUGUCUCUUAUAC